RNAcentral lists this long non-coding RNA (339 nucleotides) under Elaeis guineensis (African oil palm). RNAcentral describes it as "long non-coding RNA (EGUI_LNC001943)". Lineage: Eukaryota; Viridiplantae; Streptophyta; Magnoliopsida; Arecales; Arecaceae. The record is from RNAcentral.
AUGGGUAUCUAUAUGAGGUCUUCAAAUUCGAUCAGAGGCCUGCGACUUCAUCGGGGUGCUAGUGCCCUUAUAGAAGCUGCCUCCUGAUGGUUGAUCAAACACCUCCUUCUGAGCUCUCUGAUUCUCUUAGAGAUAAAGAAGAACUUGAAGGAAAAAAAUGUGGAGGAGGAAGAAGAAAACUUUUGAGAAAAUCCUUUUCUUUUUUUUUUCUCUCUUUCCAAAACCCUAACGCUAAGAAGGGAUGACACCAAGAUACCUCACCCCCCAAAAGAAAAAUGCACUCCUUUCUUCUUAUUUUUUUACCAUGAAAAUUAGAUUUUUCAUCACCUUUUACGCACA